AACGAACGCUGGCGGCAUGCCUAACACAUGCAAGUCGAACGAACUCUUCGGAGUUAGUGGCGCACGGGUGCGUAACGCGUGGGAAUCUGCCCUUGGGUUCGGAAUAACAGUGAGAAAUUACUGCUAAUACCGGAUGAUGACGAAAGUCCAAAGAUUUAUCGCCCAAGGAUGAGCCCGCGUAGGAUUAGCUAGUUGGUAAG
RNAcentral lists this ribosomal RNA (200 nucleotides) under uncultured bacterium. Its description in RNAcentral is "partial 16S ribosomal RNA". It matches the Rfam family "Bacterial small subunit ribosomal RNA", at positions 29 to 256 of the family's 1533-position model. The record is from RNAcentral.